GCCUCCUUAACUCAAUUGGUAGAGUAUUGGUUUUGUAAACCAAAUGUUGUCGGUUCAAGUCCGACAGGAGGCU
Molecule: transfer RNA, 73 nt
Filed under: Medakamo hakoo
Lineage: Eukaryota; Viridiplantae; Chlorophyta; Trebouxiophyceae; Coccomyxaceae
Description: trnT-UGU
Rfam family: tRNA
About the family: Transfer RNA (tRNA) molecules are approximately 80 nucleotides in length. Their secondary structure includes four short double-helical elements and three loops (D, anti-codon, and T loops).
Source: RNAcentral